GAUGAACGCUAGCGGCAGGCCUAACACAUGCAAGUCGAGGGGUAGCAGGAUUAAGCUUGCUUAAUUGCUGACGACCGGCGCACGGGUGCGUAACGCGUAUGCAACCUACCUUAUACUGGGGUAUAGCCCGGAGAAAUUCGGAUUAAUCCCCCAUAGUACUAAUGAAUCGCAUGGUUUAUUAGUUAAAGCAUUGCGGUAUAAGAUGGGCAUGCGUCCUAUUAGCUAGAUGGUGAGGUAACGGCUCACCAUGGCUACGAUAGGUAGGGGGCCUGAGGGGGUGGUCCCCCACACUGGUACUGAGAAACGGACCAGACUCCUACGGGAGGCAGCAGUGAGGAACAUUGGUCAAUGGGCGCAAGCCUGAACCAGCCAUGCCGCGUGCAGGAAGAAUGCCCUAUGGGUUGUAAACUGCUUUUAUUUGGGAAUAAACCUCUUUACGUGUAGAGAGCUGAAGGUACCAAAUGAAUUAGCACCGGCUAACUCCGUGCCAGCAGCAGCCGCCG
This 503-nucleotide ribosomal RNA is filed under the name uncultured bacterium. RNAcentral describes it as "partial 16S ribosomal RNA". It matches the Rfam family "Bacterial small subunit ribosomal RNA", at positions 28 to 523 of the family's 1533-position model. The record is from RNAcentral.